UGGGGAAUAUUGGACAAUGGGCGCAAGCCUGAUCCAGCCAUGCCGCGUGAGUGAUGAAGGCCCUAGGGUUGUAAAGCUCUUUCACCGGUGAAGAUAAUGACGGUAACCGGAGAAGAAGCCCCGGCUAACUUCGUGCCAGCAGCCGCGGUAAUACGAAGGGGGCUAGCGUUGUUCGGAUUUACUGGGCGUAAAGCGCACGUAGGCGGACUUUUAAGUCAGGGGUGAAAUCCCGGGGCUCACCCCCGGAACUGCCUUUGAUACUGGAAGUCUUGAGUAUGGUCGAUGUGAGUGGAAUUCCGAGUGUAGAGGUGAAAUUCGUAGAUAUUCGGAGGAACACCAGUGGCGAAGGCGGCUCACUGGACCAUUACUGACGCUGAGGUGCGAAAGCGUGGGGAGCAAACAGG
This 404-nucleotide ribosomal RNA is filed under the name Actinomycetes bacterium. Its description in RNAcentral is "Actinobacteria bacterium partial 16S ribosomal RNA". It matches the Rfam family "Bacterial small subunit ribosomal RNA", at positions 355 to 776 of the family's 1533-position model. The record is from RNAcentral. Lineage: Bacteria; Bacillati; Actinomycetota; Actinomycetes.